RNAcentral lists this ribosomal RNA (440 nucleotides) under uncultured bacterium. RNAcentral's name for it is "partial 16S ribosomal RNA". It matches the Rfam family "Bacterial small subunit ribosomal RNA", at positions 338 to 795 of the family's 1533-position model. The record is from RNAcentral.
CCUACGGGCGGCAGCAGUAGGGAAUAUUGCUCAAUGGGGGAAACCCUGAAGCAGCAACGCCGCGUGGAGGAUGAAGGUUUUCGGAUUGUAAACUCCUUUUGUUAGAGAAGAUAAUGACGGUAUCUAACGAAUAAGCACCGGCUAACUCCGUGCCAGCAGCCGCGGUAAUACGGAGGGUGCAAGCGUUACUCGGAAGCACUGGGCGUAAAGAGCGCGUAGGCGGGAUAGCAAGUCAGAUGUGAAAUCCUAGGGCUGAAACAUAGAACUGCAUGUGAAACUGUUAUUCUAGAGUAUGGGAGAGGUAGGUGGAAUUCUUGGUGUAGGGGUAAAAUCCGUAGAGAUCAAGAGGAAGACUCAUUGCGAAGGCGACCUGCUAGAACAUAACUGACGCUGAUGCGCGAAAGCGUGGGGAGCAAACAGGAUGAGAUACCCGUGUAGUC